CGAGUCAGAGAAGAGCCAGAAGCUGGAGGAGAGGCUGCGCCUGCUGCAGGCAGAGACAGCCAGCAACAGUGCCAGAGCUGCAGAACGCAGCUCUGCUCUGCGGGAGGAGGUGCAGAGCCUCCGGGAGGAGGCUGAGAAACAGCGGGUGGCUUCAGAGAACCUGCGGCAGGAGCUGACCUCACAGGCUGAGCGUGCGGAGGAGCUGGGCCAAGAAUUGAAGGCGUGGCAGGAGAAGUUCUUCCAGAAAGAGCAGGCCCUCUCCACCCUGCAGCUCGAGCACACCAGCACACAGGCCCUGGUGAGUGAGCUGCUGCCAGCUAAGCACCUCUGCCAGCAGCUGCAGGCCGAGCAGGCCGCUGCCGAGAAACGCCACCGUGAGGAGCUGGAGCAGAGCAAGCAGGCCGCUGGGGGACUGCGGGCAGAGCUGCUGCGGGCCCAGCGGGAGCUUGGGGAGCUGAUUCCUCUGCGGCAGAAGGUGGCAGAGCAGGAGCGAACAGCUCAGCAGCUGCGGGCAGAGAAGGCCAGCUAUGCAGAGCAGCUGAGCAUGCUGAAGAAGGCGCAUGGCCUGCUGGCAGAGGAGAACCGGGGGCUGGGUGAGCGGGCCAACCUUGGCCGGCAGUUUCUGGAAGUGGAGUUGGACCAGGCCCGGGAGAAGUAUGUCCAAGAGUUGGCAGCCGUACGUGCUGAUGCUGAGACCCGUCUGGCUGAGGUGCAGCGAGAAGCACAGAGCACUGCCCGGGAGCUGGAGGUGAUGACUGCCAAGUAUGAGGGUGCCAAGGUCAAGGUCCUGGAGGAGAGGCAGCGGUUCCAGGAAGAGAGGCAGAAACUCACUGCCCAGGUAAGUCUUCUGUCCUCCUCUUCCCUCCCCAGGUGGAAGAACUGAGUAAGAAACUGGCUGACUCUGACCAAGCCAGCAAGGUGCAGCAGCAGAAGCUGAAGGCUGUCCAGGCUCAGGGAGGCGAGAGCCAGCAGGAGGCCCAGCGCCUCCAGGCCCAGCUGAAUGAACUGCAAGCCCAGUUGAGCCAGAAGGAGCAGGCAGCUGAGCACUAUAAGCUGCAGAUGGAGAAAGCC
RNAcentral lists this long non-coding RNA (1071 nucleotides) under Homo sapiens (human). Its description in RNAcentral is "long non-coding RNA NONHSAT160493.1". Lineage: Eukaryota; Metazoa; Chordata; Mammalia; Primates; Hominidae. The record is from RNAcentral.